UCCCCUUGCAGCCACCCUCCACUACUUCCUCCUCCCUCUAGAUCUCCCCCCACGCAGCAAGGAUCGAGAAGAGGAGGAGCAAGAUGGAUUGAAGAGGAAGAGAGGAUCAAGGAGAUGUUCUACCCCCAUCUCUUGCAGAUUUUCUUGGGGAAACCCUAGGUAAGGAUAGGAUCCUUGUUCCUCCCUAUAAUUAUAUGCUUUUGGAGGUUGUGGAUCAUGUGGAUUGAAGGAUUAGAGGUUGGAUUAGAUGUGGGGUUAGGUUUUGAUCUCGAAUUUAAUUUCUGCAGAAUGGCAGAUUCGACAGUUUCUGUUCAUGUCAGUUUUCCGUGGUCUUAGUGGCCUCAAAAAAAUAAAAAGUCUAUAUAUGAGUCGUAGAUAAUUUGUAGAUCUUUCCGUGGCCGCGAAGAACACCUCAAUCGGACAUCAGAACAGAAAGUUAUGAUAGUUUGAUUAUAACAGUUUUUCAGUCUCAUAAUUCUGUGCAGAAUCUGUUCUCUUAAGAGUUAGGCAAUUUUAUCAACGGAAUCAAACUGUGGGUUGGUAAAAGAAGUUAUAGAUAAUUUCAUAAGCUUUCCAUAUUGUUAAAGAUUGCAUUCAUAUGAUUUGUGAAACUCCAAUUAUGUUUGUUUUACUGUGGCUGUUCCUGUUUGCCUGACAAAAAUGAGUGGGUCUGUUCACUGGUGGGUUUCAUCUAGUAAAUGGCCAAAUUGGCUCUUCCAACUAUGGAGACUUUUGUAGAGGGAUAAAAGUUCUUACUUCCAACAGAAUUUCAUAAUUUUUGGUUCAGUAGUUUGGGAGAUAUCGAAUUUUAAAGUUAACCAUACUGCUGUCUAAAACAGAUUCAGUCAGUUAUCUUGUCAGAUGUUUUAGAACUUGUAGAUGGCAGAAUUUAAUUAUCCAUUGAAUACUGAAGUUGUAGAGUAUUUUGUGUAGAUACUCCUAGAGUAUUUGUUUGAUAUCACCGCUGUUUUAAUUUUAAAGAUACAAAAUUAACAAACAGCGCUGCUGCUGUAUGGCAUGUGGUUCAGGGUGGGAGUCUUUCCACUGGGUCUUGGUUUCAAGUGUAGGAGUGUUUUGUUGAUUGAUGGCAAAUGUUUGUGAAAUAUUUGUACUAAGUUUUAUGCCCGCUAGUAGGUGGCUAUACUCCAGAUCAUGUCUAGUACAUUUCUUCUUCUUCGAUGAAGGCAAGUGAAUGUAGCGGUGGUUGCUUCCGUUCUGACCUGUUAUUUCUAUUGCCUACACUCUAAUAUUCAGAAGUAUUGGAUUCUUUCAUAAUUGGUCUCUAUGGUGAUGCUUUACUUGCUUGCAUUAUACUGAUGCUCAAUCAUAUAUUGAUGAUGAUUAUGAUUCGAGUAUGAUUCAUGAGAUUAAUUCACACCCCUGAAGGUAAAUGAAGUAUUAUUUGAGGUUGCUAUUGUAUCUGAAGGUAAAUGAAGUAUUAUUUGAGGUUGGUAUUGUAUCUGAAGGUAAAUAAAGUAUUAUUUGAGGUUUGUAUUGUAUCUGAAGGAAGUGAAGGUUAUUGAUAAAUGCAGCAUGCCAUAUACAUUGCAUGACUCAUUUGCAUCUGAAGUUUUAUCGUGACCUAUGGUCCGACCGUACCGGUACAAUUUAGCAUCGUACGUUGCCCGAGGAGGGGUACGAUGCGGCUUCAUACCCUUAGAGGUAUGAAGGCAGAGGACAUAUGCAUUGCAUUCAUAUGCAUUCAUUGAAGUGAUAUUUGCAGAUGAUGUGGUUUUAUACUCUCAGAGGUAUGAAGAUAGAGUACCUACACAUUGCAUUCCUAUGCAUACAUUGAAGUGAUAUUUGCAGGUAUUAUUGACGCACGGAAGUGUUAUAGAACCUAUUGUGGUUGUUCGAGGAAAUGAGAUGGUAUUGGUUAUAGUGGGACUACUGAGUUCCAUAUCUACAAGUAUUUCUGAUUUUAAUUGUGACUCUUUUAAAAUGUUGAUGAAUUCAAUUUGUGGUUUAAAGAUCUCGUCAAAAUUAUUCGCUUGCUGAGAUGUUUCAUCUCACUCUUGCAUUACUCAAUGCAGGUGCUUGUUGCUCAUCAAGGGAAGUGGGAAGUAGCAGCACAUCCACCUUCACUCUUAUAAUAACACUGCUUAGGCGCAGUCAUGAUUUAAUUAGAAGCUUCUUGUCAAAGGACGUUUGUUUCUAACUAGUUAUGCGCACUGGAUAAUUUAGCUCAUGCCGUUAUGGUUGUCUUCCCAUUGCUAGCAGACUAUUAAUGUCUAUUAUGUUUUCUUAUCAUGAUAUCUAUUUAUACUUUGUUGCUUCCCCGUUUAUGCCAUUUUCAAAGGAGAUGCUGUCGAAAUUUUAUAUACGAAUGUUAGAUGUGUAGUUUAGUAGCAUUCUGGGGUGUUUGUGGAUCCCGGGGUGUUACAGUUGGUAUCAAAGCUUAGGCUUUAGAUUCUUGGCAAUUUGAAGAU
Molecule: long non-coding RNA, 2429 nt
Filed under: Zea mays
Lineage: Eukaryota; Viridiplantae; Streptophyta; Magnoliopsida; Poales; Poaceae
Description: long non-coding RNA (ZMAY_LNC004753)
Source: RNAcentral